Molecule: ribosomal RNA, 379 nt
Filed under: uncultured bacterium
Lineage: Bacteria
Description: partial 16S ribosomal RNA
Rfam family: Bacterial small subunit ribosomal RNA
Source: RNAcentral
CCUACGGGAGACAGCAGUGGGGAAUAUUGCACAAUGGGGGAAACCCUGAUGCAGCGACGCCGCGUGAGUGAAGAAGUAUUUCGGUAUGUAAAGCUCUUUCAGCAGGGAAGAAAAUGACGGUAUCUGAUUAAUAAGCACCGGCUAACUACGUGCCAGCAGCCGCGGUAAUACGUAGGGGGCAAGCGUUAUGCGGAGUUACUGGGUGUAAAGGGAGCGCAGACGGCAGCACAAGUCAGGAGUGAAAUGCCGGGGCUUAACCCCGGAACUGCAUUGGAAACUGUGAGGCUAGAGUGCAGGAGAGGUAGGUGGAAUUCCUGGUGUAGCGGUGAAAUGCGUAGAUAUUAGGAGGAAGACCAAUUGCGAAGGCGGCCUACUGGAA